GUGAAUCAUCGAAUCUUUGAACGCAAAUUGCACUCUCUUCGGAGAGUAUGCCUGUUUGAGGGUGAGCCUAAAAAAAUCGACGUAGUCGCUGUUUCUGGGUGACAUUCGUCGGCAAUUGGGUCAUCUUAUACCUUUGGGUUUUUUAAGAGGCUUAAAAUUUUCUUUACGAUUCCACGAACGUUUCUAAGAGUUACUUCUUACGUUUAAGGUAUCGAUUUUUAUUAGACGUGUCCGUUGCAGCGGGUUACGUCCAUAAAUAUUUCGUUAACUGAC
This 273-nucleotide unclassified non-coding RNA is filed under the name Glomus sp. RNAcentral describes it as "partial contains 5.8S ribosomal RNA and internal transcribed spacer 2". The stretch from base 1 to 65 matches the Rfam family "5.8S ribosomal RNA", at positions 84 to 154 of the family's 154-position model. Lineage: Eukaryota; Fungi; Glomeromycota; Glomeromycetes; Glomerales; Glomeraceae. The record is from RNAcentral.